Molecule: long non-coding RNA, 6441 nt
Filed under: Salmo salar (Atlantic salmon)
Lineage: Eukaryota; Metazoa; Chordata; Actinopteri; Salmoniformes; Salmonidae
Description: lncRNA (ENSSSAG00000110190.1)
Source: RNAcentral
CUAAAUAAAAAGUUGGACACAAAAAAAAAAAGAGAAGGACUAAAAUGCUAUUAGACCUUCAUGGGUAAUCAUUGUAGCAGCACGGUGUAGAAUAUUACAUAUCACAGAGACACGUUAGCUAGCUAGCUACAACACACAGGUAUUGUUACUCCAAGACCAGUCAUGAGGCUACAGUACAUUUUGGAUAUAGCAAACAAAGCUAGCUCAACUUGUAGUGGUAUUCGCAAGCCCCGACAUGGCCGAAUCGAUCACAAAAAAAGUAUAUAAUGUAUUGAACAACACUGCCUUGUGUAAAAAGAGAGCUUUUAUGUUGCUAGACAGCUAUAGACAGAACGCUCAGGAUGUCAGACUGGACCUUAGACUGACUUCUUUGUGAUUUGCCCGCGGAUCUUGAAGGUUCUGAACAACAUCUCUUGACUUCUCAACCGCCUGGUAGAGCUCCGUUACUCCCCCCAAAAAACAUAAAGUUGAAAAAAAACUAUUGGAAGAUCUUAUUUGAGUAGUUAGUAGUAGGAAUUUAGGCUGAAAUAAUGUUUGAACAUGUUUUUUUAAGAAGAGACAGUUAAAGGGUAAAGAUAACUCAAACACAGUAAUGGGGUGUAACGGCUGUCUUCGGGUAGAGAGGACCAAAACGCAGCAGGAAUGUGGAUGCUCAUCUUGAAUAUUUAUUUUAAAUAAAGUGAACACCAAAACGAAGAACGACAGACCGACAGUUUAACAGGCUAUACUUACUACAGCAGUGCUAAAGACAACUACCCACAAAAUACCAAACCAAACACACACCUAUAUAUAGGACUCUCAUUCAGAGGCAACUAGAAACACCUGCCUCCAAUUGAGUCCAACACCCAAUCCUAAACAUAGAAAAACUAAACUAGACAGAACAUAGAAAUACAUAGAAAACACAAACCCUCUGCCACGUCCUGACUAAAACUAAUACAAUUACUCCCUCUGCUGGUCAGGACGUGACAUGGGGACAAAGUGGAGAGGUCUGGGGUGGCUUCCCCUUAGUAGAAUAAUGACAAAUUUUUCCCUUGAUCCUGGCUAGUCUCCCAGUCCCUGCCGCUGAAAAACAUCCCCACGGCAUGAUGUUGCCACCACCAUGCUUCACCGUAGGGAUGGUGCCAGGUUUCUUACAGAUGUGAAGCUUGGCAUUCAGGGCAAAGAGUUUAAUCUUUGUUUCAUCAGACCAGAGAAUCUUGUUUCUUGGCCACUCCACCAUAAAGGCCUGAUUGGUGGAGUGCUGCAGAGAUGGUUGUCCUUCUGGAAGAUUCUCCCAUCUCCACAGAGGAACUCUGGAGCUCUGUCAGAGUGACCAUCAGGUUCUUGGUCACCUCCUUGACCAAGACCCAUCUCCCCUGAUUGCUCAGUUUGGCCGGGCGGCCAGCUCUAGGAAGAGUCUUGGUGGUUCCAAACUUCUUCCGUUUAAGAAUGAUGGAGGCCACUGUGUUCUUGGAGACCUUCAAUGCUGCAGACAUUUUUUGGUACCCUUCCUCAAAUCUGUGUCACGACAUAAUCCUGUCUCUGAGCUUUACGGACAAUUCCUUCGACCUCAUGGCUUGGUUUUUGCUCUGACAUGCACUGUCAACUGUGUGACCAUAUAUAGACAGGUGUGUGUGCCUUUCCAAAUCAUGUCCAAUCAAUAGAAUUUACCACAGGUGGACUCCAAUGAAGUUGUAGAAACAUCUCAAGGAUGAUCAAUGGAAACAGGAUGCACCUGAGCUCAAUUUCGAGUCUCAUGGCAAAGGGUCUGAAUAUUUCUGUAAAUUAGGUAUUUCUGUUAUUUAUUUUUAAUAAAUGUGCAAAAAUGUUUAAAAAAAAUGUUUUUGCUUUGUCAUUAUGGGGUUUUGUGUGUAGAUUGAUGAGGGAAAUGUUUUAUUUAAUCCAUUUUAGAAUAAGUCUGUAACGUAACAAAACGUGGAAAAAGUCAAGGACUUUGAAUACUUUCUGAAUGCACUGUAUAAAUCAAAUAGAAUGCCAUUUAUUUGGGGGUCUUGGGACACCAACACUGUAAUUGAAAGUGUCAGCCAGGGAUAUUUUAGUGAUUUUACAGCAUGAAUGUUGAUUCUGCUCUGCUCUCCUCGCCACAAUGGAACAGAAUACAUGAAUAGACACAGAAUAGAAAAGAGGAAAGCAACUAGAACUAAAGUGUGGAAUUGAAUACCAAUGAACUUUUUAAUUGCCUGUGCUAGUUGGAAUAUUCAGAAAUUUGGGAAGAAAAUAGAAAGGGGGCGAUUGUGUGUGGAGAGAGAGAGACACAGAGAGAGAGAGACAGAGAGAGAGAGACACAGAGAGAGAGAGACACAGAGAGAGAGAGAGUGAGAGACAGAGAUAGAGAGACACAGAGAGAGAGAGAGAGAGAGAGAGAGAGAGAGAGAGAGAGAGAGAGAGAGAGAGAGACAGAGAGAGACAGAGAGACACACAGAGAGAGAGACACAGAGAGAGACACAGAGAGAGAGAGAGAGAGAGAGAGAGAGAGAGAAAGACAGAGAGAGACAGAGAAAGACAGAGAGAGACAGAGAAAGACAGAGAGAGACAGAGAGAGAGACAGAGAGAGAGAGAAGAGAGAGAGAGAGACACAGAGACAGAGAGAGUUAAAGACAGAGAGACAGAGAGAGCGAGACAGAGAGAGAGAGAGAGAGAGAGAGAGAGACACAGAGACAGAGAGAGUUAGAGACAGAGAGACAAAGACAGAGAGAGAGAGAGAGAGAGAGAGAAGUGGAGACAGAGAGACAGAGAGAGAUACAGAGAGAGAGAGAGAGAAAAGAUGUCCACAUAGUUUUGGCCAUGUAGUGUAGCUACACACCGGUCACUGGACAGACCUGAAAUCAAACCACACAUCCCCAGAGUAAAAUCACAAUGUGAUUGUUAUAUUGAUGGACCAACAUUUCCUGAGGUAACACUGGGUUAGCUUCAAUCCCAGCUCUCUGAAGAGACAACACCCGUGUUGCAGUGCCACCAUGCCAGCUGUCCCUGGAUCUAGAGAGAAAGGAGAGAGAGAGAAAGAGAGAGAGAGAAAGAGAAAGGAGAGCGAAAGGAGAGAGAAAGAGAACAAAAGGGACACACUGGGCUCUGACUCAUCCAGGUUGGGCUGAGUCCCUUACAGUAUGUGUCACAGCUGGUCUCCCAGAGGAAUGAGGGAUUAUAUGAUUCAAAUCACAUGUUAUUGGUCACAGACAGGUGAUUAGCAGAUGUUAUUGGUCACAGACAGGUGAUUAGCAGAUGUUAUUGGUCACAGACAGGUGAUUAACAGAUGUUAUUGGUCACAGACAGGUGAUUAGCAGAUGUUAUUGGUCACAGACGCGUGAUUAGCAGAUGUUAUUGGUCACAGACAGAUGAUUAGCAGAUGUUAUUGGUCACAGACACGUGAUUAACAGAUGUUAUUGGUCACAGACACGUGAUUAGCAGAUGUUAUUGCGGGUGUAGUGAAAUGCUUGUGCUUCUAGCUUCCGACGGUGCAGUAAUAUCUAACAAAUUACACAACAUAUACCCACACAUCUAAGUAGGAAUGAAUUAAGACUAUAUACAUAUGGACGAGUGAUGUCAGAGUGGAACGGACUAAGAUACAGUAGAAUAGUAUAGAAAACAGUAUUUACAUAUGAGAUGAGUAACGCCAGAUAUGUAAACAUUAUUAAAGGGACUAAGAUAUCGUAGAAUAGUAUAGAAUACAGUAUUUACAUAUGAGAUGAGUAAUGCCAGAUAUGUAAACAUUAGUAAAGUGACUAGUGUUCCAUUAUUAAAGUAGCCAGUGAUUUCUCGUCUAUGCCUCAAGGCAGCAGCCUCUAAUGUGCUAGUUCCUCUACUUAUCAACAGCCAUGAAUAAUGUGUUGAUAUGAAUAUGACUGACGUGCAAAAGUAUCCACCUGACCAGUCAGCACACCUGUAUGUAAAUAGCCCUGUAGGUAGUUAGUAAUGGCGUUGGAACAAUUCUAAAUGAAAUAUGAGUGUAUUACUAGACAUGCAAGUUCAAUGGACUGUAAAUCUGUUGUGUGGUACACAUUACAAGUCUAUUAUUGCAAGGGAUAACAGGGAUGAGGAUGAGGCUGUGUAAAUAUAAUGAAUAUUGUACUCAGAACUUCUCUUUUUGUUUUUGAAAACACACAAACAGUAACUGUGAAAUCUGAAUUUGCAUGAACAUAAAAUCUUAAACAUUUCUCAUCUCAGCCAUCGUCUUUUAUUUUCAAAACGAGGUCAAAACAUUAUUCCAACAGAAUAAUUGGGAGGAAAAUUGUUUAAUUAUGUUUUCUUGAACUUCCAAAAGUCUUAAUGUGCUGCUACAGAGGUUUUGUAUAAUUUUAGCCCGUUGUUUUAAAAGCAGUCUUCACGAGCCAAAACAGGUCCCCAAAAAUUGUGCACAGUGUCAUCCAUUUCCUAUGAUAUGUUACAUCCUGCAAAAUCUAAAUAUUGUUUUCCUGCAAUUUGUAUAUGUUAUGAAUUCCAAUUCGUACAAUAUGUUCCAAAUUUAUAAGAUCACAUUCAAGCUCUUUAACAAUUUAUGUUCUCUCUCUGAUCUCUCUCUCUGUUCUCUCUCUGUUCUCUCUCUGUUCUCUCUCUCUCUUCUUUUGCUGUUCUCUCUCUCUUCUAUUUCUGUUCUCUCUCUUCUAUUUCUGUUCUCUCUCUCUUUGUUCUCUCUCUCUCUUCUAUUUCUGUUCUAUUUCGAUUCUCUCUCUCUUCUCUCUGUUCUCUAUCUUUCUCUUCUCUUUCUGUUCUCUCUCGGUUCUCUCCGUUCUCUCUCUCUCUCUUCUCUUUCUGUUCUCUCUCUGUUCUCUCUCUUCUCUCUCUCUCUUCUAUUUCUGUUCUCUCUCUGUUCUCUCUGUUCUCUCUCUCGCUCUCUCUCUGAUCUAUUUCUGUUCUCUCUCUCUCUUCUCUUUCUGUUCUCUCUUCUCUGAUCUAUUUAUGUUCUGUCUCUCUCUCUUCUCUCUCUGUACUCUCUCUCUCUGUUCUCUCUCUCUCUGUUCUCUCUCUGUUCUCUCUCUGUUCUCUCUCUCUGUUCUCUCUCUCUGUUCUCUCUCUCUGUCUCUCUCUCUGUUCUCUCUCUCUGUUCUCUUUCUGUUCUCUCUCUGUGCUGUCCCUUUUCACAGUCUCUCCACAGUCACCGCUGUGCCCAUCCUUCUAAAUUUACUCCAGCUCAGACAGUCAAAGAAAGUGAGAGGACACAGUCACAGACAGGUCACAGCCUAAACAUUACAACACUGUGGGGUGGUGUCCACUAAACUUUGUGGGGUGGUGUCCACUAAGCUCUGCAGGGUGGUGUCCACUAAGCUCUGCAAGGUGGUGUCCACUAAGCUCUGCAAGGUGGUGUCCACUAAGCUCUGCAGGGUGGUGUCCACUAUGCUUUGUGGGGUGGGGUCCACUAAGCUCUGCAGGGUGGGGUCCACUAAACUCUGCAGGGUGGUGUCCACUAAGCUCUGCAAGGUGGUGUCCACUAAGCUCUGCAAGGUGGUGUCCACUAAGCUCUGCAGGGUGGUGUCCACUAAGCUUUGCGGGGUGGGGUCCACUAAGCUCUGCAGGGUGGGGUCCACUAAACUCUGCAGGGUGGUGUCCACUAAGCUCUGCAGGGUGGUGUCCACUAAGCUCUGCAGGGUGGUGUCCACUAAGCUCUGCAGGGUGGUGUCCACUAAGCUUUGUGGGGUGGGGUCCACUAAGCUCUGCAGGGUGGGGUCCACUAAACUCUGCAGGGUGGGGUCCACUAAGCUCUGCAGGGUGGUGUCCACUAAGCUCUGCAGGGUGGUGUCCACUAAGCUCUGCAGGGUGGUGUCCACUAAGCUCUGCAGGGUGGUGUCCACUAAGCUCUGCAAGGUGGUGUACACUAAGCUCUGCAGGGUGGUGUCCACUAAACUUUGUGGGGUGGUGUCCACUAAGCUCUGCAGGGUGGUGUCCACUAAGCUCUACAGAGUGGUGUCCACUAAGCUCUGCAAGGUGGUGUCCACUAAGCUCUGCAGGGUGGUGUCCACUAAACUGUGUGGGGUGGUGUCCACUAAGCUCUGCAGGGUGGUGUCCACUAAGCUCUGCAAGGUGGUGUCCACUAAGCUCUGCGGGGUGGUGUCCACUAAGCUCUGCAGGGUGGUGUCCACUAAGCUCUGCAAGGUGGUGUCCACUAAGCUCUGCAGGGUGGUGUCCACUAAACUUUGUGGGGUGGUGUCCACUAAGCUCUGCGGGGUGGUGUCCAUGGUGCUGAUUCAAGAUACAUUUUGACAUGUACUGUGAGGACAGCCCAUUGAUGGUUCAGCUGUAGAUUUUCCAUUAUGUUCUUGGGUAGAAUGUCUAAGAACAGGCUUACCUUUCCACCAACCUGUGGGAGUAUUGUGUGCUUAGUGAAUUAUUAACGUGCUCACACAUAUUACAAGCUAAUAGGAGUACAUGCUGAUCAGAUCACUGUCUCUAUAAUGUCAACAUUAGUUUCUGCAGGAUCAGAGAGAUGGUCCUCUGAAUUCCAAUAGGAUC